RNAcentral lists this non-coding RNA (29 nucleotides) under Mus musculus (house mouse). Lineage: Eukaryota; Metazoa; Chordata; Mammalia; Rodentia; Muridae. The record is from RNAcentral.
UCACUGUGAUAAACUGGAGCCACCCCAAG